UACGUAGGGUGCAAGCGUUAUCGGAAUUACUGGGCGUAAAGCGUGCGCAGGCGGUUCGCUAAGACAGAUGUGAAAUCCCCGGGCUUAACCUGGGAACUGCAUUUGUGACUGGCGGGCUAGAGUAUGGCAGAGGGGGGUAGAAUUCCACGUGUAGCAGUGAAAUGCGUAGAGAUGUGGAGGAAUACCGAUGGCGAAGGCAGCCCCCUGGGCCAAUACUGACGCUCAUGCACGAAAGCGUGGGGAGCAAACAGG
This 252-nucleotide ribosomal RNA is filed under the name uncultured bacterium. RNAcentral's name for it is "partial 16S ribosomal RNA". It matches the Rfam family "Bacterial small subunit ribosomal RNA", at positions 524 to 776 of the family's 1533-position model. The record is from RNAcentral.